GGAUUUUAAAAAUUAUUAUUCGCUAGAAAAAAGACCACGAACUUUGGAGUGGACAUCCUGAGACCUGCCUACGAAGACCAUUAGGUGGCCUCCAGAAGACACUCCUCUGAUUCCUACACCGAGGGAACACACAGCAGCAAGCUAGGAAAGAAGGGGUGACCCAGCCCAACGCUCUAAACCAGGGCGCGAACCGGCGUUGAGCUGUGCAGCUGCGCCCUGGGCUCCAGUCCUGCUCUGCCGCAGACCCCACCGGAGCCAGCACCUGCCUCCCCGACCCUCGCUGGGGAGGCUGUGAGAUGAGCCCAGAGCCUUCCUGAGCCAACCCUCGCAAGGAAAGUCCGUCUGUUCACCCCACUAUCCUUGUCUUGAAGGAUGAAGAAAAGAGAGCCCCCCGGGAGGUCCCAAAAGGUGGAAUGGACAUCUGGGAUCCAAGCACAGCAAUUUCUUUCUUUUUCUUACGCCUCUCACUAGAGGAUGAAAAUAGUUCUGCAUAAAGGCCUGAGCUUUAUGAAAAAUAUAUUCACACCUCCCAUGUCCGAGUUGGGAUACCAGAGAAGUUCCUGGUUGAGUACUACUUAUGAAUGAAGGAUUCAGGGGAUGCACAGGACACACAGGAAUCUGGGGGAUAUUAUGGUUCUGGGAAUGUGGAAUGUAACGUCUCAUCUUCAGCCCAUCUGUGCUACUGAUCGUCUCAUUCCAGAAGCCAUGCCUUCUCUCAGGAGCAGACUGCACAAGACUUUCCUGCCAGAGGCACAGUCCCCAGUGGGUGUAGCAUCCACAUAAGACAGGAUGCAGAGAUGUCUUCAAGCAGCUUCAAACAAAACUUCAAGAAAGAAAGUGCAAGUGAAGAAGGAAAUUCAUCCUUCCAGUCACUUAACACAGCACUGUCACGGACACCUCGUGCCUCCUUAAAAUUCGUAUACUGAAGUUCUAAGCCCCAGUGCCCCAGAAUGUGACCUUCUUUGGAAAUAGGGUCAUUGCAGAUAUGAUUAGUUAAGAGGAGAUCAUACUGGAGUGGGCUUUAAUCCAAUAUGACUGGUGUCCUUAUGUAAAGGGGAAAUUUGGACACAGACACACACAAGGAGAACACCAUGUGAACUGAAGUCAAAGAUUUGGGUGAUGCUUCUACAAGCCAAGAAAUGCCAAAGAUGACCAGCAAAGCACCGACAGCUGGUGGAGGAGCCUGGACCAGAUUCUUCCUCACAGCCCUCAAAAGGAACCAAUCUUGCCAAAGCUUUGACUUAGACUUCUAGCCCCCUGUGAUGGUUGAUGUUAAGUGGCAGCUUGACUGGGUUAAGGGAUGCCCAGAUAGCUGGUAAGACAGUAUGUCUGUGUGCAUCUCUCAGAGUGUUUCUGGACAAGAUCAGCAUUUGAAUCCUUAGAGUAAAGAAGAUCUGCCCUCACCCACGUGCAUCACCCAAUCUCUGGAGAGCGCGAACAAACAGGAGGAAGGGCCCAUAUGCUCCCUCUGUUCCAGCUGGCACAUCCAUCUUCUCCUGCCCCCUGACUUCAGAGCUCCUGGUUCUCGGGCCUCAGAAUUCCAGCACUUACAUGAGAGUGUGCUUCCCCCUCCCUACUCCACCCCUAGGUUCUCUGCCCUUUGGCCUCUGACUGAAUUCCACCACCAGCUUUUCAGGGUCUCCAGCUUGCAGACGGCAGAUUGUGGGACUUCUUGGCCUCCAUAAUUAUGUGAGCCAAUUCCCAUAAUAAAUCUCCUAUCUAUCUAUCUAUCUAUCCAUCCAUCUAUCAAUCAUCUAUCUAGUCUAUCUAUCUAUCUAUCUCUAUCCUAUUGAUUCUGUGUCUCUGAGGAACCCUAAUACACCUCCAGAACUGUGAGAUGAUACAUUUCUGUGGUUUAAGCCACCCAGAAGGUGGUACUUUGUUUCACCAGGCCCAGCAAACUAAUACAAGUGCAUGGAAGGUGUCUACUCAUGACUACAACUUAGAGAACAAGCAUUAUAAUAAAAAUAAAAGUGUUAUACAACGGUGGCAAGAUAAAUGACAAUAAAUGAAAAUAUUAACAUGUGAAUUAAAAAGUAAAGAUAUUUUUCCUAGCAUUCUCCCAGAAAGUAGAGAUGUGUCUCUCUUGUUUGCCAUCAUAUCCAGCAAUGGCAAGAUAAGUUCUAGGCACUUCAUAAAAAUUUGUUGAAUGAAA
RNAcentral lists this non-coding RNA (2155 nucleotides) under Pan troglodytes (chimpanzee). Lineage: Eukaryota; Metazoa; Chordata; Mammalia; Primates; Hominidae. The record is from RNAcentral.